This 468-nucleotide ribosomal RNA is filed under the name uncultured bacterium. RNAcentral's name for it is "partial 16S ribosomal RNA". It matches the Rfam family "Bacterial small subunit ribosomal RNA", at positions 28 to 507 of the family's 1533-position model. The record is from RNAcentral.
GACGAACGCUGGCGGCGUGCUUAACACAUGCAAGUCGAACGGAAAGGCCCUGCUUUUGUGGGGUGCUCGAGUGGCGAACGGGUGAGUAACCCGUGAGUAACCUGCCCUUGACUUUGGGAUAACUUCAGGCAACUGGGGCUAAUACCGGAUAGGAGCUCCUGCUGCAUGGUGGGGGUUGGAAAGUUUCGGCGGUUGGGGAUGGACUCGCGGCCUAUGAGCUUGUUGGUGGGGUAGUGGCAUACCAAGGCCUUGACGGGUAGCCGGCCUGGGCGGGUGACCGGCCACAUUAGGACUGAGAUGCGGCCCAGACUCCUACGGUAGGCAGCAGUGGGGAAUAGUACACAAUGGGCGGAAGCCUGAUGCAGCAACGCCGCGUGCGGGAUGACGGCCUUCGGGUUGUAAACCGCUUUCGCCUGUGACGAAGCGUGAGUGACGGUAAUGGGUAAAGAAGCACCGGCUAACUACGUG